Long non-coding RNA from Haliotis rufescens (red abalone), 492 nucleotides. RefSeq lists it as uncharacterized. Lineage: Eukaryota; Metazoa; Mollusca; Gastropoda; Lepetellida; Haliotidae. The transcript has 2 exons. The record is from RefSeq and is a predicted model, not a curated record.
UUAACUGGAAGUGCCAAAAACUUUCUUAGUAAUGUUGGUGCAGAACUGUUUUUAGGUUGUGAUGCAUUGAGCUUAUGUUAUGGUUGGCCUUUACUACAAUUAAGUCAGUUUGUCUGUUUUCCCAUUACAGAGGUGAAGUUAUCAAACCAAGAGUGCUUGAGGCACAGGACUAAUUUCUACUGCAUUUGGCAACAUGAGUAUGAAUCACUUGAUCCACCAAGACUUGAACGAGCUGUGGAGGACAAGUAGUUGGUACCUGACAAAGGCCACUGUGAUGGGCAUUACUUGCACCGGGUACCACCUGGAAAACUCGCAGUUGUGCCCCGAAUGAUUGUGCACCGUCCUCUAAUCACUCGAACGUGAUGCCACACUUACAACUACUGUGGGACUAGGUGGUUUCAAUAUCAUACUUGUGAAGCUGACUUUCAUGAACUAUAGUCUCACGCCAUUUUUCUGUAUCAAACCAUGUAUAAUAAAAUUAUGAAAAAUCCA